GAUGAACGCUCGCUGUGUGCCUAAUACAUGCAUGUUGAACGGGAUGUAGCAAUACAUUCAGUAGCGAAUGGGUGAGUAACACGUACCUAACCUACCUUUAAGACUGGGAUAACUAUUGGAAACAAUAGCUAAUACCGGAUAUAGUUAUUUAUCGCAUGAUGAGUAAUAGAAAGGAGCUUCACAGCUUCACUUAAAAAUGGGAGUGCGGAACAUUAGUUAGUUGGUAGGGUAAUGGCCUACCAAGACGAUGAUGUUUAGCCAGGCCGAGAGGCUGUACGGCCACACUGGGACUGAGAUACGGCCCAGACUCCUACGGGAGGCAGCAGUAAGGAAUUUUCCACAAUGAGCGAAAGCUUGAUGGAGCGACACAGCGUGCAGGAUGAAGUUCUUCGGAAUGUAAACUGCUGUUAUAAGGGAAGAAAAAAUAGAAUAGGAAAUGAUUUUAUCUUGACGGUACCUUAUUAGAAAGCGACGGCAAACUAUGUGCCAGCAGCUGCGGUAAUACAUAGGUCGCAAGCGUCAUCCGGAAUUAUUGGGCGUAAAGCGUCCGUAGGUUUUUUGCUAAGUCUGGAGUUAAAUGCUGAAGCUCAACUUCAGUCCGCUUUGGAUACUGGCAAAAUAGAAUUAUAAAGAGGUUAGCGGAAUUCCUAGUGAAGCGGUGGAAUGCGUAGAUAUUAGGAAGAACACCAAUAGGCGAAGGCAGCUAACUGGUUAUAUAUUGACACUAAGGGACGAAAGCGUGGGGAGCAAACAGG
RNAcentral lists this ribosomal RNA (755 nucleotides) under uncultured Mycoplasma sp. RNAcentral's name for it is "bacterial SSU rRNA". It matches the Rfam family "Bacterial small subunit ribosomal RNA", at positions 28 to 776 of the family's 1533-position model. Lineage: Bacteria; Bacillati; Mycoplasmatota; Mollicutes; Mycoplasmatales; Mycoplasmataceae. The record is from RNAcentral.